UACGUAGAUGGCAAGCGUUGUCCGGAUUUAUUGGACGUAAAGCGAGCGCAGGCGGUUCUUUAAGUCUGAUGUGAAAGCCCCCAGCUCAACUGGGGAAGGUCAUUGGAAACUGGGGAACUUGAGUGCAGAAGAGGAGAGUGGAAUUCCACGUGUAGCGGUGAAAUGCGUAGAUAUGUGGAGGAACACCAGUGGCGAAGGCGACUCUCUGGUCUGUAACUGACGCUGAGGCUCGAAAGCGUGGGGAGCAAACAGG
Molecule: ribosomal RNA, 253 nt
Filed under: uncultured bacterium
Lineage: Bacteria
Description: partial 16S ribosomal RNA
Rfam family: Bacterial small subunit ribosomal RNA
Source: RNAcentral